GCCGGAAUAGCUCAGUUGGUUUAGCGUUAGACUGAAGUUGUUUACGCAACAGUCAUCUAAAGGCCCACCCCCCGAAUCAAUCCCGGGUUCCGGCA
This 95-nucleotide transfer RNA is filed under the name Dreissena polymorpha. It matches the Rfam family "tRNA". Rfam says of the family: Transfer RNA (tRNA) molecules are approximately 80 nucleotides in length. The record is from Rfam by way of RNAcentral. Lineage: Eukaryota; Metazoa; Mollusca; Bivalvia; Myida; Dreissenidae.